This is a small nuclear RNA of Microcebus murinus (gray mouse lemur), 107 nucleotides long. Lineage: Eukaryota; Metazoa; Chordata; Mammalia; Primates; Cheirogaleidae. The record is from Ensembl.
GUGCUCAAUUCAGCAAUAUAUAUACCAAAAUUAGAACAAUUCAGAGAAGACUAGCAUAGCCCCUGUGCAAGGAUGACUUAAAAAUUUGCAAAGCAUUUCAUAUUUUU